This is an RNA transcript of Brassica napus (rape), 9848 nucleotides long. It is a transcript of the gene named proteasome subunit alpha type-6-B-like, with no coding region annotated. The record is from RefSeq and is a predicted model, not a curated record. The transcript has 8 exons. NCBI's taxonomy places the organism in Eukaryota, Viridiplantae, Streptophyta, Magnoliopsida, Brassicales, Brassicaceae.
UUUUUCUGUAGCUGCUAUUUUUUUCACUUUUUUAUUUUAAAAACAUAAUAUAAAUUGAUAAUAUUUUGUUUCCUUUUUUAAAAGAUAUCGAAUUUAAAAUAAUGAAAUCCUAUUGGCCGAUGAACCUAGAGGUUGAACCAAAAAUAGCUCUUAGGUAAAACCCUAGUAACCAUAAGACUAGCUUCUCUCGAAACGAGACAACUCAGACAAGACAUAAGAGACAGAAAACCACUUUGUUGCGUCUAAACCGAUUAAAGUAUAGAAGAUGGAUCAUAUUAGCGGGUUACCAGACGAGAUUCUUUGUCAUAUAUUGUCCUUCUGUCCGACAAAGCGUGCUGCUUUGACAUCCGUUCUCUCAACAAGGUGGCGCGAUCUGAUUGCGUUUGUCCCUAAUCUUUACAUCGAUGACUCUGCGUUUCUUCAUCCCGAACUGCGUAAGCGAGAAAGGUACGAGAUUCUGCAAAGUUUCAUGGCAUUUGUGGAUAGUGUUUUGGCAUUGCAGGGUGAUUCUCCCAUUGGGGAAUUCUCUCUCAAAUGUAAAACUGCCUCGAGGGAUCGUGUGGAUGGUUGGAUAUGUAAUGUCCUGCAGCGUGGUGUUUCGGACGUUGAACUUCUCAUCGAGGAUGAUGUUGAUUAUUUGCUGCCUCAAGAGAUGUUAGUCAGUAGAACACUUACAAAGCUGAGAUUAAGGAACGCACGUUUGCCUGGGGGAGUUGAAGCGGCUUUCUUCUUACCAAUGCUUAAAACUCUUGUUUUAAAGGAGGCUCGGGUUUAUUCGGAUAAGCUUGAGAUGCUUCUUCCUACUCUCCCUGUGCUUGAGGAAUUAUACAUACACCCUUUGACGCGGAGACGUUCGCGCUGUACCGUGUCAAGUGCAAGCCUAAAGGAGCUGGGUAUAACUGUCACGGCUGAAGGAAAGUCAUCAAUAUCAAAGAGCUUUUCUUUUGAUACUCCAAAUCUGCUUUACCUUAACUAUUGUGAUUUCAUGGCGGAGGACUACCCAAAAGUUAACCUCAGUAAUGUAGUUGAGGUUGUACUCAACCUUAUUGCAAGUACAAGUCAAAUCAAUCAAAUAAGAUCGUCAAAUAAUAAUAACGAGGUUCUGUGGUAUGGUAAUGUGUGGAAACUCAUGAAUGGUAUUAGAAAUGUGAAGAAACUUGCUGUGUCAGAUUCUACUUUCCAGGUCAGUUUCUACGUGCAAAUCCAUGUUAGAACUUUCUUAUGCUAAGAUUCCUGACUUGCUUUUGUUUCUUUCUUGUUUCAGUGGUUUCCUCUAUGCUGUGAACUGGUCAACAACCUCGAAUGGUUACGGUUUUGUUGUUUCAAUCCAUAUGGAUGUAAAGCAAUGCCGGUUAUCCUAAGGAAAUGUCCACAUUUAGACACUCUAGUCUUUCAGGGUCUCUCAGAGUAUUGGAAAGACAAAUGCCGGGAUGCAUGUGACUGCAUUUCUCGGGAGGACAAAAGUCGUUUGCUCAUGAAAAAGAUACAGAUCAAAGGGUUUAGAGGAACAAACGCAGAGAUGGGAGUGUUAGCGCAUUUUUUGAAGUAUUUUCCGUGUUUGAAGGAGAUUCAGAUAUAUGCCGGAGAGAAUUGUACUACUGAUAUUUUUGAACACAUUGUGAAGUUAGUGAAUCUCUACAACGAGAGUUAUCAACUUGUGGUUCACUUCCUAAAGUAAACCCCUAGCUAGUGUAAUAUACUCAUGAGAUUUUUCAUUAAGAAAAUUUUUUCUCUCUUUCCUUACUAUUUUGGUCGUAAAAUAUCAGAGCUAUCAGUGGUACCUGAAGGAGAAAGAUAGAUGGUUGGACUCUUAUUUCCCGUAUAAGAUAUGUUCUAUAUAUUUAGAGCAUCUUUAUCGGUGUUUCUUAAUGGGAGUUUUGCAGUAAUUACAUCAUUAAAUUAAAUGAAAACUAAAAGAAAAUGGCAUAACCGAUCCUUCAUUUGAUAUUUUCGGGACCGUUCCUUAGUGAUAAAGUGGACACACGUGUCAGCAUAUGGGGAAACUGAAAUUAAUUUUGUUUUCUUUCCUCUCUCUUUCUUCUCUGUCGUGACCGAGCCAAUUCUUCGUCUUCUCUCUUGUUUUCUCCGUCGACGAUGGCGUUCUCUCGUUUUCUCCCUAUGGGCGACGAAGGCGUUCAAUUGAUUGUCCAAUUGGUUUCCAUGUGUGGAAGAUCUGAGCCAGUGUUAGAUGAUACUUCGAAGAUCAGAGUCAUCCACUAUCUCUUCCUUACCGUUCGUGUUCUUCCUCCUCAGGCUCAACCAUGUUUGGUUUCGUUUCUAAUCUCGCGUCGGAGGCUAGAAGAAGAGUUUAGAAGCUAUGGAGGGAGACUAGAUUCACGGAGAGAGGAGAAGAGUUUCGAAGCAAUGGAGGGUGGAGAAGAAACUGGAGCGAUUGAGAACUGAGUCUGUGCAGAGGUCUCUAUCUCUCUCACUUCUCUCGCUCACGAACAGUACUCGAAUCUCUAUCUCUCUCACCUUAGUGUAUGUGCAUUGUUGUUAGGUGGGAAGAGAAGCUUAAGAUGUCUCACUUAGCUGAAAUGGUGUUUGGAGAGAAUGCGUUAGUACUUAAACACUUAGGCAGCAACACUAAGAUUCAUUUUAACGGGUUUGAUGCACUUGCGGGUUGGAAGCAAGAAGGACUUACACCUGUUGAGGUUCCUGCUGCCGCAAAAUGGAAGUUCAGGAGCAAGCCGUCCCAGCAGGUGAUACUGGAUUAUGAUUACACUUUUACUACGCCUUACUGUGGUAGCGGAGUUGUUGAGAAAGAUCAAGAAACGGUAGUUUUGUAUGAAGAUGAACUGGCUGCCAAUGGAGUGUCACUUCUGACUGUGAAAGUGAGGCGAGAUUGACCACAGAGCUCAAGGAUAAAGUCGCUCACGUUGGUGCCAGUCUUGUCAAUUAAAAAAAAAUGGGUCAAUCGCGGGUUCCCACGCGGCGAUGGGACCCGCGUACAGUGACGAGCCCGGCAGCGAAAUGGUCCUUACCUACGGACUGCAAGACACAAUUAUGGCACAAAUUUCUAAUUUUUUUGGUCCCCAUAUAUAAUAAAAAUAAUUUGUUGCUAAGGAUUUUUUUGUAAGGAUCAGCGUUGCAGCCGCUAUUAGGGCAACAUUAUUGGUUGGACAAAAUUUUGUCCUUAGAAUAAAUUAGUAUUAUUUUUUAGUUAGAGACAAAUGCAUAAGGAUUUUUUUAAUUUUGUUGAUUAUUGGUAGGACAAAAAAAGUCCUUAGCAUAUUUUCACACAUUUAUUUUAAUGUGUGAUUAGAUAUAAAAGAUACAUUUUAAAUAAAACAUAAAAGAGAAGUUUAACAUUAAAUUGAAAGCAAAAUAGAAUUAGAACAAAAAAAAAUUUUUUAAUGGAAACAAACAUUUUAUUAAAUUCAUAAAAACUUAUAAAUUACAUGUUAUCUGGACGAUGUCUAAAUUUUACCCAUAUAUUUUCAAUCAAAUCAUAUUUUAAAUUAUGAUGGGUUUGUAUAUUGCGAACGCUCGUCCGACGAUCCAUUGUAUUGCCGACCGGCGAAGGCGUAUUGACGGAAAAUCUUUCCAUAUCCCUUUCUUGAAUCCAGGAACCACAUAUUGUGUCCUUGAUGCCCGUUCAUCCUCCACAAUCAUAUUAUGGAGAAUGAUACAUGCUCUCAUAAUAUUUUCUAUCUUGUGUUUAUCCCAUAAAUUAGAUGGAUUUCUGACGACGGCAAAUCUAGCUUGCAGGACUCCAAAGGCGCGUUCAACAUCUUUCCGUACAGACAGAAAACACACAAAGGUUGUAGCAGAUAUUUCUCUAAAUAUACUCGGCGAGGAGCUUGUUUUUGGCUGCUUCCUCAGCCUCACUGAGUGGUUGCGUUCUGGCCAGGAGUGUGUCUAAGAUGGCAAGCUUCUGGAGCUUUUCUUUCCUAUCCAAAUCCACCUUCCUCAGUUCAAGUACCGUUGUAUAGUAAUCAACAGACUUCCCACUCCCAUUACGUUUAGCUUUUGCAGCUUUUACACCUUCAGGGCGUAUCUCUUCUUCACCAACACCUGUGGUUUCAGUUUGGGAAUCUGAUUCAACGGUUUUCUCUUAGAACUAUCAGAAGCUUUAGUGCUGUUGAGGUUGAGCCAUUUCUGCUCAUACCUCAACACACACCACGCAUGCUCCAGUGUGAAUUUGGACCCCUGAUCUGCGAAGAAAAUGUCAUGGACCACCUUGAGUACAUCGUUCUCAUGUUCACCACUGGAUAUCUGUCUCUCUGCAGCCGCAUAUGCACCACAAAACUUUGAUGUGUCAUUACUGAUUUUGUGCCACCUCUGUUUAUAGUGGAGAUGCUGGCUACUUUCAACACAAUCUCCACCACAAAGAGCUGCGAAGAACAAAUCUCCUACACGUUUCCAGUAAGUGCCUGAUUUUUGGUUAUUGCCGACUAUAGCGUCCUUAGAGGUAUUUAACCAAGCACUUAUCAGCAUCUCGUCCUCGACCGGGGUCCAUUUAUGUCUCCUCCCACGCUCCACGGGUGGAUCUGUGGGUGGAGUUGGAGCAACAGACUGUUGAAAACUGAAUUGAGGGAUCUGUGAAGAUCCAGAAGGAAAACUCUCAUAAGGAGAGUUCCCAUCAUUAACACUUUCGUGUUGACUGUAAAGAAGGCCCGUAUAACCAACAGACUGGCUAUACGGAUUCCUUGGAUCCAUAUAGAAGAAGGAAUGUGAGAGAAUAAAGAAGAUAGAAGAAGGAAUGUGACAGAAUAAAGAAGAUAGAAGAAGGAAUGUGACAGAGUUAGACCAGAGAAAAAAGAGAACGAAGAUGAUGGAGAUAAACUCGUGAAAGAAGGGUUAAAUAGUUGAAAAUGAUAAUUAAAACUCCCAUAAUGACCUAACUACAAAAGUACAUCUCAGUUAUUGUAUAUUACACAACCAUAAUUACCUAUCUACAAGUGCAUUAACUACUUUCCAAACUAGCCUUGCAAACAAACUAGACACUUUGGUCACAAUCAAAACAGACUCGACACUAUGGUCACAAUCAAAACAGACUCGACAGUACCAAGAAAGUGUGGCCUUGCAAACAAACUAGACGCCUUUAACUAUUGUACAAACUACAUUACUUGGUAGCUGAAGAGAAAUAAGUUUACCUUCAAGUGUGGAGGAAAUGGUUGUUUCUCUUUGAUCUCCUUGCUAAUACAAUCCUCGUGAUCGAACCUCACCUCACCUAAUAAACUCGGAAACAUAAGAACACACUUCUCAGUUUCAAGAGUUAAACAACAAAUAAUUACACAAUACACAAUCUACUGAAUCGUUACACGUCUAUAACAGAACACAUUUACCAGAUGCGAAGAACACAUUACACGUCUGCUGAAUCGAUAAACUCAUCUCACCUCACGUACACAAUCUACAUCAUAAUCCCUAAAUCUACACGAUAACAUCACAAAAUACAAAUGAAUCAUUUAUCAUCAAAGACUAAAGAGACGAAAAUAUAAAUACGAAAUCCCUAAAUCUAUAGAAAAUCAAGCAAAUGACUCAAAGUAUAAAUACAUGCAAAUCCCUAAAAUCACCCUUUCACCUUCGAUUCGCAGCGAUAAAGGUCGGGAGGAGACGAUCGAGAGGAGAUCCGUCUAGAGGAGACGCUCGGGAGGAGAUGCGUCCAGAAGAGAUGCUCCACAAGCAAACCGUCUAGAGGAGACGCUCGGGAGGAGAUCCGUGGUUCUGUUAUCGAAUCGGGGGGAGAUCCGUCGGCGGGAAGGGGAUGCGCCGUUGAUGAGAGCUCUAUCGCAUAUUCGAUCAUCGCGAGAGAGAAAGAGAAAGAAGUGAAAAGUUGAUUUUCGAUUCUUUUCGGUUUUGCCCAAACCAAAACGCUUCCACCAUUCCCUUGCCGACACGUAUCAGCUAAGGACAAAAAAAAAACAUGUUAGCCAACGACAAACCGCGUCCGUCCCAGCGAUAUUAUACAAUUAUUAUUUAGAUAAAAUCAAAUAAAGCCUAACGACUUCCUCUAUCAUACCCCGAUAAUGUUGCCCUUAGUACCAUUCACUAUGAGAAGUUAAAGUAUCACACAUUACACGAUCAUACAACAGUAACAAAUGUGUGGUUCUUGUCCCUCGACAAGUUUUAUUAAUAUAUGAAUUCCUGAUUACUAGUGCGGGGUUUUGAUUCAGAGACCGGAGGGCAUUCAUCCGGCUACCACUAAAGUUUUUUUCUUUUUUUUUGGUUGAAGAUUUUCUUCUAUUUAAAGCAUGAGAAAAAAAAGAAAACAAGCCAUAAAGCCUUAGUUUUUGGGCUGCACCCUAUUACAAAAAAAAAUAGGCCGAAGCCCACAUUAGAGAAAAAAACCAGUGGAUAAAAGAUGAGAUAGUAGAAGCCCAGAUGGCCAGAAAAAUGAGUUACGGAUCAGAACUGAAGACUUAGACGGUUGAUUGCAGAAGUGGUAGAGGAGGGUUUAGAGGAUAUGGUGAUGGAGCAGUUGCAAACCAGAGCUGAAUCAUCUGAGAAGCUCCGAUUGGGUUUGAGUCUCUGAAGCCAUGGAUCUUAUUUCGAAUCGUUCUGUCCAGUAUGGAAGAGAUGGUAGUAAUGGUUUUUGCAGUGUUGCGGUGAAGUCAGAGCGUUCCUUUCUUGCCAAAUAGAGUAGAUUACAGCUUGCCAUACAAUCAGUUGAAGCUUCCUGCGCCAAGGAGGUCCUGGUAGUGAUUGCAUGCGAUUAGACGCCAAGAAAGCAUUUGCAGCUGCCAUAUCCUCCGUUGUUCCCUAAAUAAUUUUUUUAAAGAUAUAUUGUGUAGUGUGUACUACAAUUUGGAUUAAGUACAUAUUCACUAAAUACUUUUUAAAAAAUUAAAAUUUAAAAUUAUAAAUGAUAAACAUAUUACUAUAAUUUAGUUUAUUUUUAUUAAAAUAUGUUGGAGCACAAUUUUAGUUUAUGAUAUUAAAAUAACAAAUAACAUUUAUAUAUCUUUUAAUUAUGACAUCUCUUAUUUAAUAAAUAUGUAUAUUUAAAUUACAAAGUAUAUAUUAAAUUAUGUAAUCCUCCUAUAUAUUAAUUGAAAAGUCAUUUAAGUGAUUUCUGCUGACGUGUCGUUCAUAUGAGAGCUUUCCAAUUAAUUGUUAUAAUUUGAUUGGUUGAUGAUUUUUAAUUUUUAUUUAUUUAAUUAAAAUUUUUAAAAGGAAACUAAGCCUAUAAUUACCUAAUCUAACAUAUGUUUCUAAACAUACAAUUAAUCAUCUUAAAUAUAGAUGAAUUAAUAUAAUUUAUUUAUAGAAACAGUUUAAUAUCAUAGAUUACAUUAUAUAAACUAAUAAUAUACAUUUAAAUACAUAUGAUACUACAUAAACAAUUAUAAAAACGGUUUUGAAUAUAUCUAUAUUAGUAGUGAAUACAAUAAAUCAUAGAUUCCAGAAAAUUAAUUAAUGUAAACCUAGUAAUAUUAAUUAAACUCACUCAUUCACUAUAUAUAUCUAUUUUAAAAUGUUUCAAAAAAAUGCAAAACAGUUAAAUAUAUAAUUUUAAAAAAAUUCUCAUAAUUUUCCUAUGAAAAUAUGAUAUCAUAGAUAAGUUAUCACUUUUAGAAAUGAUUAAAAUACUUCUAUAUAUUAAUUAAGAAGUCACUUAAGUGAUUUCUAAUGAAGUGUCGCUCAUAAGAGAGUUUUCCAAUUAAUUGUUAUAAUUUGAUUGGUUGAUGGUUUUUAAUUUUUUAUUUAUUUAAUUAAAGUUUUUAAAAGGAAACUAACCCUAGAAUUAUCUAAUCUAAUAUAUGUUUCCAAACAUACAAUUAAUCAUCUUAAAUAUAGAUGAAUUAAUAUAAUUUAUUUAUAGAAACAAGUAAAUAUAUAUCAUAGAUUACAUUAUAUAAACUGAUAAUAUACAUUUAAAUACAUAUGAUACUACAUAAACAAUUAUAAAAACGGUUUUUAAUAUAUCUAUAUUAGUAGUGAAUACAAUAAAUCAUAGAUUUCAGAAAAUUAAUUAAUGUAAACCUAAUAAUAUUAAUUAAACUCACUCGUUCACUAUAUAUAUAUAUAUCUAUUUUAUAAUGUUUCAAAAAAACGCAAAACAGUUAAAUAUAAAAUUUUAAAAAAUUCUCAUCGUUUUUCUAUGAAAAUGUGAUAUCAUAGAUAAGUUAUCACUUUUAGAAAUGAUUAAAAUACUUCUAUAUAUUAAUUGAGAAGUCACUUAAGUGAUUUCUGUUGACGUGUCACUCAUAAGAGAGCUUUCCAAUUAAUUGUUAUAAUUUGAUUGGUUGAUGGUUUUAAAUUUUUUAUUUAUUUAAUUAAAGUUUUUAAAAGAAAACUAACCCUAGAAUUACCUAAUCUAAUAUAUGUUUCCAAACAUACAAUUAAUCAUCUUAAAUAUAGAUGAAUUAAUAUAAUUUAUUUAUAGAAACAAUUAAAUAUCAUCGAUUACAUUAUAUAAACUGAUAAUAUACAUUUAAAUACAUAUGAUACUACAUAAACAAUUAUAAAAACGGUUUUUAAUAUAUUUAUAUUAGUAGUGAAUACAAUAAAUCAUAAAUUCCAGGAACCAAUUAAUGUAAACCUGAUAAUAUUAAUUAAACUCACUCAUUCAAUAUAUAUAUAAAUAUAUAUAUAAAUAUAUAUAUAAAUAUAUAUAUAUAUAUAUAUAUCUAUAUCUAUUUUAAAAUGUUUCAAAUGAAUGCAAACAUUCAAAUAUAUUAUUUUUAAAAAAUCUCAUCAUUUUCGUAUGAAAACGUGAUAUCAUAGAUAAGUUAUCACUUUUAGAAAUGAAAGAUAACUAUAUAACUAAUUAAUAUAAAUUAUCAAAUAACACAAGUAAUAUUACAAAUAAUGAUUUAUGAUAACUAAUUGUAGAAUUGGAGAAAUAAUAUAUAUGUUUUAUCAAUUUAUUUUUCUUUAUCAAUUAUUUAUAUAUAAUUAAAUAAAAUACUUUAACUUUUUUAUUGAAAAAAAUUUAAUGGUUAUAUAUUCCUAUAUAAAAUAAUUAGAUUUGUAGUUAAAGAAUUAUUAGAAUUUUUUAUGUUUUCUAAAGUCCACACAAAAAACGUUUACAAAAUAUCUUCAUGAUAAAAGCAUCUGAUCAUUGUAUUGGUCCUACACAAAAAAACUCUCUUUUUUGUUUCUUGAACGCUAGAGUAUUCCCAGUUUUUUUAUGUGUUAAAAUAAAAUAUAAAGUAAUUCUUCAACCAAUUAUCUGAAUUAAUUAUAAGGUGAGAAAUAUUUGCAAUAACUAAGGUUUACAUUGUUGAACUAUUUUAAAUCUCACCAAUCUUCUAAAAAUAUAUACUGGAAUUUUGAUUAUCCUUUGAAAUUAAGAAUUUAAAAUUUAAAAUUUUAAUUAUUAUUCAAAAAUUAUAACAAUGUAAACAUAAUAUAUAUUUCUUUAUAUAAUAUAAUCACCCGCAAAAUUGCGGGCAGACACCUAGUAUUCACAUAAAUGAUGAACUAUCACGAAAAGAGAAAAAUUAACUUUAUAUAUGUAUAAUAUCUUAGUAUAGUCAAGUUAUUAUAUUUUAAUAAAAUGCAUUGAAACAUAAUUUUUGUUUAUAGAUUAAAAAAUAACUUUUCAUAUUCAUGUUAAUUUAUGUUAAUACAUCUAGAUAAUUGAUAAUAACAAAGAAUAUUUCAUAUUUAUUUUAAACAUAUUUAUAUGAAGAUUUUAGAUUUCAAAUUUAUACAUAAUAUAAUAUGGUGUAUUUGUAGAGAAUGAUUUGUUACCCAUUCAAAAAGAAACUCGUACUUAGAACAAAUGGACUCUUUGACAAUUUGUUAAAAUAUUUGGAUUAAAUAAUAAUAAAAUAAAAAGUUGAAAAAAAUUGUAAAUGAAUGAUGAUGAUAAUGUUAAUUUUUGUUGCAUCAGUUGGCUUGAUGAGAAAGGUAGAAAACUCUUAAAUAAAACUAGAUCAGAGAAAAAAAAAAAA